AUUCCCCUAGUAACUGCGAGUGAAGCGGGAAAAGCUCAAAUUUAAAAUCUGGCAGUCUUUGGCUGUCCGAGUUGUAAUCUAGAGAAGUGUUAUCCGCGCUGGACCGUGUACAAGUCUCCUGGAAUGGAGCGUCAUAGAGGGUGAGAAUCCCGUCUUUGACACGGACUGCCAGGGCUUUGUGAUGCGCUCUCAAAGAGUCGAGUUGUUUGGGAAUGCAGCUCAAAAUGGGUGGUAAAUUCCAUCUAAAGCUAAAUAUUGGCGAGAGACCGAUAGCGAACAAGUACCGUGAGGGAAAGAUGAAAAGAACUUUGGAAAGAGAGUUAAACAGUACGUGAAAUUGCUGAAAGGGAAACGCUUGAAGUCAGUCGCAUUGUGUGGGAAUCAACCUUGCUUUUGCUGGGCGUAUUUUCCAUAUGAUGGGUCAGCAUCAAUUUCGACCGUUGGAUAAAGUUCAAGGGAAUGUGGCAUCUUCGGAUGUGUUAUAGCCCUUGGUUGUAUACAACGAUUGGGAUUGAGGAACUCAGCACGCCGAAAGGCCGGGUCUCGUACCACGUUCGUGCUUAGGAUGCUGGCAUAAUG
Molecule: ribosomal RNA, 579 nt
Filed under: Hypholoma fasciculare
Lineage: Eukaryota; Fungi; Basidiomycota; Agaricomycetes; Agaricales; Strophariaceae
Description: eukaryotic LSU rRNA
Rfam family: Eukaryotic large subunit ribosomal RNA
Source: RNAcentral